CGCAAAGUGCAUCAGUAUUGAAAACAAAACUGGAAAUACAAACCGAUAUACAGACCAGCGUACUGUAGGUCGGGUUGAUAACACUACCCUGUUGAUAUUUUGUAUCAGAUUACUUCCACCAUAGAUACAAAAUCGCCAGACAACAGGUAAAGUAAAUUGAAACGAUUUUUUGUUCAACGUUCCGACUUGUAGUGGGACUAUUCGGGAAUGCUGAGCCUACAUGUUAAAGAUAGACGAGUGUGAAUCCAUAGUCCAUACCUGACAGAUGCAUGAGGUAAAAAGUUAAUUCCAAUCCGAACAACUGCAAACACCAAUCAGGAAUCCAUAGUCCAUACCUGACAGAUGCAUGAGGUAAAAAGUUAAUUCCAAUCCGAACAACUGCAAACACCAAUCAGGUACCUACUCAACAACAUUUGAACAUAAUUAGAUUAAGUCAUUAGCCUACACAAGACUGACAUUAUUCUGUGAAAUUUCUCGAAUUUACACCAUGCUCAUGCCAUUGUUGAAUACACCAGUGGCCC
Coregonus clupeaformis (lake whitefish) is the source of this 521-nucleotide long non-coding RNA. RefSeq lists it as uncharacterized. The record is from RefSeq and is a predicted model, not a curated record. The transcript has 3 exons. Lineage: Eukaryota; Metazoa; Chordata; Actinopteri; Salmoniformes; Salmonidae.